GAGGCACUAAGAUGUACGGAGAUUUGAGAAAAAAAUUCUAGUAGUUUGAUAUGAAAAAUGAUAUUGUACAGUAUGUGACUUAGUAUUUGGUGUGUUCGAAUAAAAGCCAAGCAUUAGAGACCUAUAAGAUCGCUGCAGUCCUCUUAUCCUUUAGUGGAAAUGGGGGUGUAUUAUCAUGGAUUUUGUGACUAGUUUGCCUAAGACAUCUAGAGGUAAUGAUGUGGUGUGGG
This 230-nucleotide long non-coding RNA is filed under the name Elaeis guineensis (African oil palm). RNAcentral's name for it is "long non-coding RNA (EGUI_LNC033334)". Lineage: Eukaryota; Viridiplantae; Streptophyta; Magnoliopsida; Arecales; Arecaceae. The record is from RNAcentral.